Molecule: long non-coding RNA, 805 nt
Organism: Pseudophryne corroboree (corroboree frog)
Lineage: Eukaryota; Metazoa; Chordata; Amphibia; Anura; Myobatrachidae
Exons: 2
Source: RefSeq, a predicted model, not a curated record
UCAUAACGGUAUCAACUGCCUAUAUCCCGGCUUGGCUGCUGCCUCUCUCAUUCUCCUUCAAUACCUGGAGACACAAAGCUCACCGGCAGGAGUAGAAACAACUGGCAGGAGAAACACACUUGGCUGAGCACUAUGGCCCCGAGAUGGAUGAUCACACUGUGGGAGACGAUAACUGCCUGCUGUCCAUGCAGAAGAUACAGGAGCUGGAAUGCACAGAGAAGAGAUGCCCACUUGCCUCGCCAUACCAGGCUUGAGGAAGAAAUGCCUCCAACCAAGCCAGUGGGUUAUGAUCACACUGAUGGCAGUUUAUCCAAAAAACUAUCUCCCAGUGAGAAGAACAAGGAUCGCCAGAUAAAAGUCCUCGAUCUCAUUAACAAACAGUUAGUCGAGGAGAACAACUUGUUAGCAGCAGAAAACACCUUAUUAAAGAUCAAGGUUGAAAUGCUUAAAGACACGCUAACGAAGGUCAUAGAGCUGUUGUAGGCCCCUGUGUAACUCCGCCGCUGUUACGGAGGCUCACCCAGUAGCUGACCAGUAACCAUGGAUUCUUAUCUUUAUGCACUCACCUAUUAGAGCAGGGGGAAAUAUGCACUGAGAGGUUUCUGUAAUCUUCUAAUCGAAAAGGAGCGACCUUUCUUUUUUGAAGUCUGCAGAAAUCUGUCAGUGUGUAUUUUCCACCUUUUCUCACCUUCUCUAAUAGGUAAGUACAUAAAAACAGUGAUCCAUGGCCAACAUCUACUGGUUACAGCUUACUGUGGUUAUAUCUGGUAGUUAAUCUUUAACAUCAAUAAAGAGCCAGAGCAAA